Molecule: ribosomal RNA, 392 nt
Filed under: uncultured bacterium
Lineage: Bacteria
Description: partial 16S ribosomal RNA
Rfam family: Bacterial small subunit ribosomal RNA
Source: RNAcentral
AUACGGAAGGUCCGGGCGUUAUCCGGAUUUAUUGGGUUUAAAGGGAGCGCAGGCGGAGAUGCAAGCGUGACGUCAAAUUUCGGGGCUCAACCCCGUCUCGCGUCGCGAACUGCGUCCCUUGGUUGCGGGAAGGGGAGGCGGAACUCGUGGUGUAGCGGUGAAAUGCAUAGAUAUCACGAAGAACUCCGAUCGCGAAGGCAGCCUUCCGGCCCGUCAACGACGCUCAUGCUCGAAGGUGCGGGUAUCAAACAGGAUUAGAUACCCUGGUAGUCCGCACGGUAAACGAUGAUUACCCGCUGUCGGCGGCAGACAGUCGGCGGCCAAGCGAAAGCGAUAAGUAAUCCACCUGGGGAGUACGCCGGCAACGGUGAAACUCAAAUGAAUUGACGGGG